Molecule: ribosomal RNA, 253 nt
Filed under: uncultured bacterium
Lineage: Bacteria
Description: partial 16S ribosomal RNA
Rfam family: Bacterial small subunit ribosomal RNA
Source: RNAcentral
UACGGAGGGCGCAAGCGUUAUUCGGAUUCACGGGGCGUAAAGCGCGUGUCGGCGGCUUGACAAGUCGGGUGUGAAAUCCCGAGGCUCAACCUCGGAACUGCACUCGAAACUGCCUGGCUCGAGUCCCGGAGAGGGAGGCGGAAUUCCCGGUGGAGGGGUGAAAUCCGUAGAUAUCGGGAGGAACACCAGUGGCGAAGGCGGCCACCUGGACGGUUACUGACGCUGAGACUCGAAAGCGUGGGGAGCAAACAGG